GAAGAGCCAGAUCUCGGCAGGCUGCUGGGCAGGGGAGGUGGGAAAAGUAAACCAGUGUGCAGUCGGGGAGUGGGAUGAUAUAGACUAUUGUGUUCAGACCUCACCUGUGCCCACUGUCUCCUCUUGUGGCAGGGCAGGGCACUAAAGGAACAACAGGCAGAAUGCUGCUUUUCUAGUGUUCAGAAUGGCUAGUUCAGGUUUACUUUUCUGGCUUAGUUUGGACAAGCUCCUGUUAAUCAAGCUGUGGGAUGGAACUUCCGGGGACAGCAAAAGAUGAAAAAAACUGAGCUCCAGAGAACUUAAGUAACUUGUACAAGGACAUAAGAAAAUAAUAAUCUGAAACUUGGAAAUAAGCAAAAGAAGAAUGACUGCCGGCAUCUCUUUUUAGUAUCAUCAGAAGCUCUACCUAACAGGCCAUCCUACUUCCAAGGAUUAUUUAAAUCUCUAGGGAGAGUACCUUUGAUUAAUUAUUUCUUAUGAUUAGGGCCUAUAUUCUGUGAAAAUACAGAGUCCAAGUUUUAACUUUGUAGAUUAUUAAAUUAUAAAUUGUAUUUCUCCCAUAGAGAUGCAAAUUAUUUCUUUCUAUUAUAAAAGAUAAUCCCAAAGGUCAUAAUUUUAUCGACCAGUAAGACAUUACCCAGUUUUAUAUCUAACAAGCUCAUUUCAACUUUUUUUUUCUGAUAGGAUAAAUAAAUACCCAUUUUCCCCUCCCUCCCUCCCUCCCUCCCUCCCUUCCUUCCUUUUUUUUUUUUUUUUUUUUUUUCCGGAGUCUCGCUCUAUCUCCCAGGCUGGAAUGCAAUGGCAUGAUCACAGCUCACUGUAGCCUCAAUCUCCAGGCUCAAGUGAUCCUCCUGCCUCAGCCUCUGUAAGUAACUGGGACCACAGGCACAUGCUACAAUGCUCAUGCCACCACGCACAACUAAUGGAAAAAAAUUUAUAGAGAGAGGCCUUCCUAUGUUGCCUAGGCUGGUCUCAAACUCCUGGGCUCAAAAGUGAUUCUCCCACCUUGGCCUCCCAAAGUGCUGGGAUUACAGGUGUGAGCCACUAUGCCCAGCCAGUAAAUGCCCAUUUUCUUUUCUUUUCUUUCUUUUUUUGGAGACGGAGUCCAGCUGUAUCGCCCAGGCUGGAGUGCAAUGGCGUGAUCUUGGCUCACUGCAACCUCUGCCUCCCAGGUUCAAGUGAUUCUCCUGCUUCAGCCUCCGGAGUAGCUGGGAUUACAGGCUCCCGCCACCAGGCCUGGCUAAUUUUUGUAUUUUUAGUAGAGAUGGGGUUUCACUGUGUUGGCCAGGCUGAUCUCAAACUCCUGACCUCGUGACCCGCCUGUGUUGGCCUCCCAAAGUGCUGGGAUUACAAGUGUGAGCCACCGUGCCCGGCUGACCCAUUUUCAAAUGCUAUUAGAAUCACCUUUGCCAUCUUAUUUGUUCCCUCAUUAAUUAGUUAAACAAAUAUUUUACAUGAGCUCAUUAUAUGUUCAUAUGAGGGUGAACGUAAAGAAUUAUGAAGGGUUGAAGGUUUUACCCUACCUGUAAGUUAACAAGUUAGCCUGUCAUGGUUUAAUGGAUGCUGGCAGAAGACAUGAAACUCCUGGGUCAGAGACAAAGGACUUUAUGAUGAAUGGUACAGCAAGCAACAUGAACACCAGUGUAUUUGUGCCAGUUCCCCUUUCCUCUGCAAGUCCCAUAAGGGUGAUGUGGAUAGACCUAAGUAGAUGCCUAUACAUUCAGUGUGUCACAUUAUACUAAACUUAAGGAACUUGAAUCUUUUAUAAUGUUUAGUAAGCCUGAUUCCCCUUUUCUCCAGAGUGAGACACUAUCUCUACCUUCCAAAGCUAUUUGUUAUGUAAACAUCCUUGUAAGGGCAGCUUGGAACAAAGUACCUUGCUUGUAAGAUAUAUAGAAACUUAAGAGACCCAUGGAGAAUUAUCUCCCAACAGCCAAUUUUAAAAAAUUAUACCCUGGCCAGGGUGUAACAGCCUGUAAAUGACCACGCCUGGAUACUUCCUGGCUGCAAUGUCUGGGCUGUUUCCACCGUACUGAGAAAACCCAAGUCCCACUGCAUGUGACCAACAAAAGAAUCCCCCACUACUAUUAGCUCUUUGUAUCUUUUCCAACCUAGGGUGGAAGUGGCCUUGGUUUGAAAAAGAUGCAUCAAAGCACAAAAAACGUGGUAAUUAAUCAGUUUUAUUUCCAAAGCCCUACAUGUCUUGAGAUGCUUAAAAUACUUAUUGUGAUAAAAUUUUAAUAGAACCCUAAAACUACAAAAACUUUAAGGCAAUUAAAACACUAGUCUGUGAGCAAUUUAAGAGCAGGGACCAUGUUUUAUUUGUUUUUUGAAUCGUUGGAACCUAACACAGUGUCUGGUACCUAGUAGGUGUUCACCAAAAUUUUUGUCGAAUUAGUGAAUAAAUAAAUUAAGAGGGAGGAACACUCCUGUUUACCUCUUUCUUAUCCAGUUUCUCUUUGGUCCUUUCCUCUUCUAGAAAACAAAGCAGAUAUCUGUUGAACUCAUUUAUGCCCUUUGCUUCAGCUGCUUGUUCCAAUAACUUAUUCCAUAUGUUUAUUUCCUUUAGUGUGAAAAGAUUUGGCUCAAGUUUUCUUUUUUAUUUAUAGUUUCCUGAGUUUUCAGUCCUGUCCCUGCUCGCCUGUUCCCUUUCCCAUACACACACACCCGGGAGUGUGAAGGAGCAAGUGCCGACAGCUACAACCGCGAUUCAGAGGUUCUUGAAAGGGUUGCUGUUGUUUCUGGACAGUCAUCCUGGGCGGCUGUCCCCAGGCCAGCGAGGCCGACUGCUUAGCCUGCAGCCUGGGCCGCACUCCUGAGACACUCUGCCCCCAUCUGACUGGCCACGUGCCCUCUCGCUCCUCAGUGGCAAAGGAGGAAGAGGCAGUGAGAUGGCAAAUAGGCAAGGCCACCAUCAGUCAUUGUCGUCACUGUCACCAUCGUCUUGCAGAUCAGCCACAAUCCUGCCUGCACAGAACAGGUUCCGUGGGCGUUUCCAGUGUGAUGCAUCCCAAACCAAGCACAUCAUGUUCCUCCCUGAACCAGGUGAUCUUCCUCCUGCUCCCUCUUCCAUUUGGAAUACUGCCGUCACCACCUGUGCAGUCUCUCCGACCAGAAACCUCAGUGUCAUCCUGAUUCAUCCCCUCCCUCAGCCUCCUCAUCGAAUGAGUCACAGAGAGAUUUUACUGGAAGAUAAUUCCCAGCAUGUGCUUGCUGAGUCCUCUCAGACUUGUUUCUGAAAUCUGACUUCCUACCCUUCACUCCAUUGCCCCUCUCUGUUCAGCUCCUCACCUUUCCCUUGAGCUACUGCACCAGUCCAGCCACCCUCUCCCUUCCACCAACCUCUCCCCUUGCGUGGGCCUCAGUGUGUCCUGCUGAAAUACGCACAUUGACAUCCUAACCCCCAAGGUGAUGGUGUUAGGAGAUGGGGCCCUUGGGAGGUGAUUAGGUCAGAAGGGCAGAGCCCUCAUGAAUGCGAUCGGUGCCUUUAUAGAAGAGUCCUCAGAAAGCUGCCUUGCCCUUUCCACCAUGUGAGGGCACAAUGAGAAGGCACUGUCUAUGACAACCAAGAAGUGUGUCCUCACCAGACACCAAAUCUUUCUUUGUUUUCUUGAGACAGAGUCUUGCUCAGUCACCCAGGCUGAAGUGCAAUGGUGCUAUCUUGGCUCACUGCAACCUCCGCCUCCCAGGUUCAAGUGAUUCUCCCACCUCAGCUUCCCAAGUAACUGGGAUUACAGGCACCCACUACCAGGCCCGUGUAAUUUUUGUAUUUUUUUGUAGAGAUGGGGUUUCACCAUGUUCUCUAGUUUGGUCUUGAACUCCUGACCUGAAGUAAUUCAUGCACCUUGGCCUCCCAAAAUGCUGGGAUUAUAGGCGUGAGCCACCGCGCCCAGCCACCAAUCUAUUGGUGCCUUGAUCUUGAACAGCCCAGUCUCCAGAACUAAAUUUCUGUUGUUUAUAAGCUACCUAGCUUAUAGUAGAGUUGACUCUUGAAUGACAUGGGUUUGAACUGCCUGGGUCCACUGAUAUGUAGAUUUUUUUCAAUAAAUUUAUUGAAAAAGUUUUUAGAGAUUUGCAAUAAUUUGAAAAAACUUGCAAACUGCUGUAGCUUAUAUGGCAAAUAUAGGCAAAAAAAAUACUGAAAAAAUUAAGAAAAAGCUAUGUCAUGAAUGCAUAAAUUCUAUAUAGAUACUGGUCUAUUUAUUUGUUAAUCAGCUUUAUGUUAUGGGUAAGGUGACGUGGUUUGGAUCUGUGUUCCCACCCAAAUCUCAUAUUCAGUUGGAAUCCCCAGUGUUGGAGGUGGGGCCUGGUGGGAGGUGAUUUGAUCAUGGGGACGGUUUCUAAUGCUUUAGCACCUUCUCCCCAGUGCUGUUCUCAUGAUAGGGUUCUCACGAGAUCUGAUUGUGUGAAAGUAUGUGGCACCUUCACCCUCUCUCUCUUCCUCCUGCCUCGACCACGUGACAUGUUGUCUCCCUCUUCACCUUCCACCAUGAUUGUAAGUUUCCCGAGGCCUACCUAGAAGCCAACAGAUGCUGCCAUGCUUUGCUCUGUCGCCCAGGCUGGAGUACAGUGGUGCGAUCUCGGCUCACUGCAACCUCUGCCUCCUGGGUUCGAGCGAUUCUCCUGAGUAGAUGGGAUUACAGGUGUGCACAACCACUCCCAGCUAAUUUUUGUAUUUUUAGUAGAGACGGGGUUUCAUCAUGUUGGUCAGGCUGGUCUCGAACUCCUGACCUCAUGAUCUGCCCGCCUCGGCCUCCCAAAGUGCUGGCAUUACAGGUGUGAGCCAACGCACCCGGCCAACCUCUUUUGUUUAUAGGUAUUUCUUUAUAGCAAUGCCAGAACGUACUACUACAUAAGGCUUCUGGUCAACAGUAGGCUAUUAGUAGUUAAGUUUUUGGAGAGUCAAAAGUUAUACGUGGAUUUUCUACUGCACAGGAGUUGGCACUCCAAACACCCCCAUACAGUUCAAGGCUCAACUGUAUUUUCUUAUAGCAGCCCAAACAGGCUAAGAAAAGUCUAUUCUCUAAUCUGUUGAUGAUGUAAUUUAUUUAAGUGGAAAUUCUUAAAAUCUUCAUGGGUUUUCUGAAGCCCUACAAAGUCAAGUCCCCACUCCUUAAAUCCUGAAUAUGGCACAUAAGGUUAUUAUAUUUUCCCCUACAGACUCACACUCCCAGACCUCUGCAGCUUUGCUGGUGGGGUUCAGGCACGGGUACCCCACACUCCAGGCAAGUUGUACUUCCGGUCCUUUCCCAUGCAGUCACCCCUCACCAUUCCAGGCUUUUCAUCCCUGCCCAAGGUCCUCUUAACUCUCUUCCUGACACAUUAAUUUUAUUUCAUUUCAUGAAAAAAAAUGGGUGUUUAUUUGAAAUUGCAUAUUAUUUUGUAUGAUCUACUUUUCUGUUACACAAAUGCUGUAAUUUAAACAAAACAGUAAGGACAGGUGCAGUCACUUGCACCUAUAAUCCCAGCCAUUUGGGAGGCCGAGACAGGAGAGUUGCUUGAGCCCGGGAAUUGGAGGCUGCAGAGAGAUAUGAUCGUACUACUGCACUCCAGCCUGGGAGACAGAGUAAGAUCCUGUCUCAGAAAAAACCCCACACAUACACACAAAAAAUAAGACUAGUUAAGAGUGAUAAUUGGAGCAUCUUAGUUGCAAUAAUUAAAUAAUGUGUGAGAAAAAUGUAACAAAAUUUUUUCUAUCCUCUUCUACACCAUUUUAGUUUAACACUUAAAACUCUUUCAUUGGUUAUUGAUUUCUUCAGCUUUAUUGAGGUAGAAUUGACAAAUAUAGUUGUAUAAAUUUAACAUAUAUAAUGUGAUGAUUUGAUAUAGUGUGCAUUGUGAAAUGAUCGUACAAUCAAGUGAGUUUUUAAUUUCUAUCACCUCACCUAGUUAAAAUUUUUUUGUGUGUGGUAAGAACACUUGAAAUUUACUCUCUCAGCAAAUCUUUCUUUCUUUCUCUCUUCCCUCCCUCCCUCCCUUCCUCCCUCCCUUCCUUCCUUCCUUUCUUUUCUUUCUUUCUUUUCUUUUUUUUUUUUCUUCAAGGGCUCACUCUGUUGCCCAGGCUGGAGUGCAGUGGCACGAUCAUAGCUCACUGCAGCUUCCAGCUCUUGGGUUCAAGAGGUCCUCCCACCUUGGCCUCCCAAAGUGCUGGUAUUAUAGGUGUGAGCCAUGAUGCCCAGCCAGCAAAUUUCAAGUAUACAGUACAGAAUUAUUAACUCUAGUCAGCAGCUGUGCAUUAGGUCUCCAGAAUUUAUUCAUCUUUCUUUUCAUAGAUGGGAUCUCACUUGGUUGCCCAGGCUCGACUCCAACUCCUGACCUCAAGGGAUCCUUCUGCCUCAGCCUCCUGAGUAGCUGGGACUACAGGCACGUACCGCUGUGCCCGGCUUGAAUUUAUUUAUCUUAUCACUGAAACUUUGUCCCCUUUGACCAGCAUCUCCCAUUUCCUCCACCCUCAGCCCCUGGUAAUCAUCAUUCUUUUCUCUGCUUCUAUGAGUUUGACUUUUUUAGAUUCCACAUGUAAGUGAGAUCAUGCAGGCAUCUGUCUGUGUGUCCCUGGCUUAUUUCACUGGGCAUAAUGUCCUCUCGGUUUGUCCAGGUUGUUCUGUCUCCUGACAGAUUCUUAUUCAUUCUUCAGAACUCAGCCAAGUCUUGCCUUCGGUGCGGCUUUCCCUGGCUCCCCUGGACUGCUCGCUCUCCUCUCUGUGCUCACCAGCUCUUGCUUCAAUCCUUGACUCCAGCACUUUCCAGACACUUAAUCCAAGCUUGCUAGAUGUGUGAGCAGGUACAGGGUGGAACCAGGUUGAUGCAACAAAUUGAUGGGCAUUACUGAUGAACCUGGGGUGAAAGUUCUGUGUGUACAUUUGCGGAAAGAUGUUGGUGUUUGGGAGAGGAUUUCUCCUGCUCAGGCUAAUUUCCGAAUGGCAAUUUCCCACUUGAUUAGCAUGAGCUCUAGCUAGAUAGGGAUAGGCCACAUGGGUCAAUGCCAUCUCUUUUGAAAAUCGUGACAGACUAUACUAGGUCUAAGUGAAAUUGUUAUCAAUAUUGAGGACUUUAGUGAUUAUUGCAGUGAUAUCCUCAAAUUUCUGCUUUUUUUUUUUUUUCCGCAGAGUGUCACUCUGUCACCCAGGCUGGAGUGCAGUGGCACAAUCUCGGCUCACUGCAACCUCUGCCUCCCAGGUUCAAGCGAUUCUUCUGCCUCAGCCUCCCAAGUAGCUGGGACCACAGACACUGUGGGAGGCUUGAGGCCCAUGACAUCAAUUUAGGCAUCCGGAGAAGGUAGGAGGCAGGGGAACAGGUAGGGGGAAGGUGUGGGGCCCUGCGUGUCUUGAAUGUCCCCUCCAAAGCUCAUGUUGAAACUUAACUCCCAAUGUGGCAGUAUUGAGACGUGGGGCCUUUUGGAGGUGAUUAGGUCUUGAGGGCUUUGCCUCCAUGAACGGAUUAAUCCAUUCAUGGAUUCAUGGAUUAACCAGUCCGUGGAUUGAUGGGUUAUUAUGGGACUGGAACUGGUGGCUUUGUAAAAAGAGGAAGAGAGUCCUGAGCUGGCCUACUCAGCUCCUCUGAUGUGACACCCUGCACCACCUCAGGACUCUGCAGAGUCCUCACCAGCAGGAGGCUCUCAUUAAACGUGGCCCCUCAGCCUUGGAAUUCCCAGCCUCCAGAACUGUACAAAAUAAAUACCUUUUCUUUUUAAAUCAUUCAGUUUCAAGUAUUCUGUUAUAAACAACAGAAAAUAAACUAUUACAGAAUCAUGGUGUGGAGAAAAAAAAUAACAAAAAGAAAAUGGACUAAGACAGACUCCACUGGAGAAGUAGUAGUUUUUAAUUGCUAUUAACAUAGGUCAGGUGUGGUGGCUCAUGCCUGUAAUCCCAGGAAUUUAGGAGGCUGAAGUGGAAGGAUUGCUUGAGGUCAGGAGUUCAAGACCAACCUGGGCAACACAGAAAAGCCCUGCCUCUACAAAGAAUUUUUAAAAAUUAGCCAGGCAUGGUGGCAUGUGCCUGUAGUCCCAGCUAUGUGGAAGGCUGAGGCGUUUAGCCACUUGAGCCCAAGAGUUCAAGGCUGCAGUGAGCUAUGAUUGUGCCACUGAACUCUAGCCUGGGCAACAGAGCAAGACCUUGUCUCUAAAAAUACAUUUUUUUAAAAAUUAUGAAAAUAGUGUGGGCAUGGUGGCUCACACCUGUAAUCCCAGCACUUUGAGAGGCUGAGGUGGGAGGAUCACUUGAGCCCAGGAAUUCAAGACCAGCCCAGCCAACGUGGUGAGAGCCCGUCUCUACAAAAAGUUUAAAAAAUAAUGAAAAUAAAAUAAUUAAAUAAUAAUAAUAAUAAUAACUAUAAAAAAAUUGAAAACAACAACAAUUCCUCACAGUGGGUAUCCUUUAAGCUGGAACAAAAGGAGAAGAUGCUAUGGUCUGAAUGUGUCCCCCCAGAAUUCAUGUGUGGAAGCAUGAUCUGCAAUAUGGUGGUAUUAAAGAGGAUGGGGCUUCGGGAGGUGAUUAGGUCAUGAAGACGCAACCAUCAUGAAUGGGAUUAGUGCUUUUGUAAAAGACAUCUGAGGGAGACUGUUUGCCGCUUCCACCAUGUGAAGGUGCAGGAAGGAGGCACCAGCUAUGAGGAAGAGGCCCUCCCCAGACGCCAGAAACUGCUGCACCUUGAUCCUGGACUUCCCAGCCUCUCCAACUUGGAGCAAUACAUUUCCACUCUUUAUAAAUGACCCACUCUAAAUUAUUUUGUUUUAGCAGCCCAAAGAGACUGACAGAGAGAAAAGUUUGAUGAACAGUUUAAAGUGGGGAAUAAGUAUAUUUUUGCAGAGAACUGUAAGGAGGGCAGCCUGUCUAAGGGGCAGGUAGGAGAUGGCAAGGAGGAUCUUCCUAGGGAAGGGUCAGGGAAAGGUGAGUGUCAGGCUGGGACAAGUGGAAACUAUGGAGUGUUCUUAGUUUGGGGCUGACAGUAAAAGCUGUGGAUCAGGAAGUGAAGUGCAUCGGUGCCCAGCAACCUCUUCUCACCCUAAGUUUUACCUGCUUUAAUGUCUCCAUGAAUAUGGUCCUAGGGGCAAUAUUGUUACUACCUGCUGUGCACAGUGUCUCAUAUAAACAAGGAACUUCCUUCGUCUAUGUUUGAAGUUUAUUUUGCAGGUAAUAGUGGGUUGGAUAUCCUGACCUCCAGGAGUUCACAUUCUUCAAUGCUUCAGGGUGGUCACGGCAAUUCUAUUAGGGUAUCUGUUCUCCACGACAGAUAUUUUUAGCAACAGAUAGCCUGAAUCCAUUCAAAGAAUGCACCUGUUGAUGGGAAUCCAGAUCUGGCAACCACACACUUUAAUUUCAAGAGUGCUCAAUCAGAGUGUGUGCUAGACUGUGGGACAGGACAGAAAGUCUACUGACUUCAGGCUCAGGCUCACAACAGCUGUUUUCCAAAAUUGGUAACAUGAAAGUGCUUCUAUUAAUGUGGAGAUUUUGGUUUGAUGGAUUCGUGGAAAUGAUCUGAUACAAAAAAGCACAAUUCCCUUCCCUCUCCCGUUUCUGUCUUGUCUUCCUCCUUCCUGCCCUUCCUCCCUUUCCUUAGCAAUAUAUUUUUUUUUUUUUUGAGACAGAGUUUCACUCUGUCACCCAUGCUGGAGUGCAGUGGCGUGAUCUCAGCUCACUACAACCUCCGCUUCCCAGGUUCAAGCAAUUCUCCUGUCUCAGCCUCCUGUGUUGCUGGCACUACAGGCACCUGCCACCAUACCUAGCUAAUUUUUAUAUUUUUAGUAGAGACAGGGUUUCACCUUGUUGAUCAGGCUGGUCUCGAACUCCUGACCUCAGGUGAUCCACCUGCCUUGGCCUCCCAAAGUGCUGGAAUUACAGGCGUGAGCCAUUGCGCCCAGCCUUCCUUAGCAAUAUUUUCUUUCUUUUUAAUUUCUCUUUUUUUUUUUUUUUUUUUGAGACCAAGUCUCGCUCUGUCACCCAGGUCUGCUCACUGCAACCUCUGCCUCCCAGAUUCAAGCAAUUCUCCUGCCUCAGCCUCCCGAGUAGCUAGGACUACAAGCACACGCCACCACGCCCAGCUAAUUUUUGUAUUUUUUUUUUUAUUAGAGACGGGGUUUCACCAUAUUGGUCAGGCUGAUCUUGAACUCUUGACCUCAUGAUCCGCCUGCCUCGGCCUCCCAAACUGCUGGGAUUACAGGUGUGAGCCACCAUGCCCGGCUGCAGUAUUUUCUAAAUGUCUCAUCUUGGAUUUGUUUUUACAGUGACAAAGAAGCCAAGCAAAGUUUUCUUCCUCUAUUAAAUGCAUAUUCUAGAAGGGAAGACAAACAAAUCAUAAACAAACUAGUAAAUAAUACAGUUUCAUAAAGUGAUGAAUGCUGGGAAGAAAGGGAGGCAGGAUAUGGCAGUGACCAGGGCCUGGAGGUAUUUUUAUUUCCCGUUUGGUGGACAGGGGAAGCACUCUGUGGAGGUCACAUCUGAGCAGAGACCUGAACUGGUGGCCGUGAUGGGAGUUUGCGGUGGAAAGCAUUGCAGGAAGAGGUGGAAAAGAACAAGCAUUGCUCUUUGAACAGCAUGAAGAUUGGGGUGGGUGGAGAGGAGGGGUCAAGGAGCAGAAGUGUAGGAUGAGGAGAAGCAGCCAGUAGCUAGAUCACCAGGGACUUGUAGGCUACAAUAAGGAUUUCAUAUUUUAUUCUAAGUGCAAUGGGAAGCUAUUGGUAGGAAUUAAGCAGGAGAGCAAGGCAAGCUGACUUACAGUUUAAGAAUACCCUGGCUGCUCUUGGAGAAUAUUCUGUAGUGGAGAAAGAAGGCUGUAGGAAGACCAGUGGCUUGGCUGUUGUAGAGUACAAGUGUAAGCUGAUGGUGGUCUGCAGUAUGGAGAUGGCAGUGGAAGCGGGGAAAGGUGGUAGGGAGGGCUCAGUAUGUGUUUUAAGAGAUCGAGAAAGGACUCAAUAAUCGUGGACUGGAUGCCCAGUAGGACAGAAAGAGAGGGGUCAAGGAUGACUCCUAGGUUUGUAUUUUGAGCAACUGGAUGAUUUAUGGGGCAAUUUUCUGAGAUGAAGAUGAUCGGGAGAGGAGACGGUUUAGAUUGGAAAAUUAAGAGCUCUGUUUUUAUAGUUUUAAGUGACUAUAUAGAAUAUUAAAAAGAUACAGCUGUCUGGAAUUUAAGAUAAAGAUCGGAGCUGGAAAUAAACUUUGGGAGUUACCAGCGUGUAGAUGGUAUUUAAAGCCAUUGAUCGAGAAGACAUCACAUGGGGAGGGAGGUGCUUGCCCUGAGGAAGAGACUGAGCUCAGAGACACUCCAAUAUUUAAUGGAUGAUGUUAAGAAUGAGAUGCUAACAGGGAAAAUUGAGAAGGAAUGGCCCGUGAAAUAGGAGGAAACUCAGAAGGGCAUGUUGUCCUGCCCACCAUAAUGUUUCAAAGAGGAACAAGUGUCAAAUCCUGCUGGGAAUAAACUGAGGACAGAUAAUUGAAUACUAGAUUCUACAUCAUGACCCUAACAUGAGCAGCUGCAGUUGAACAGUGGGGAUGAAAUUCUGAAUGAAAUGAAUUAAAAAAGUAAAGAAGUGGAGACAGCAAGUAGCAAUAGUUCUUUCAAGUUUUGCUGAGAAGGGGAGAAAAAAUGGGGAUGUAGGGUCAAGGGUGGAUUUUUCAAAUAGG
Molecule: long non-coding RNA, 11615 nt
Filed under: Homo sapiens (human)
Lineage: Eukaryota; Metazoa; Chordata; Mammalia; Primates; Hominidae
Description: non-protein coding lnc-TFAP2A-14:4
Source: RNAcentral